Molecule: ribosomal RNA, 254 nt
Filed under: uncultured bacterium
Lineage: Bacteria
Description: partial 16S ribosomal RNA
Rfam family: Bacterial small subunit ribosomal RNA
Source: RNAcentral
UACGUAGGGUGCAAGCGUUGUCCGGAAUUAUUGGGCGUAAAGAGCUCGUAGGCGGUUUGGUGAGUCGGGUGUGAAAUCUCCACGCUCAACGUGGAGGGGCCACCCGAUACUGCCAUGACUAGAGUCCGGUAGGGGAGUGUGGAAUUCCCGGUGUAGCGGUGAAAUGCGCAGAUAUCAGGAGGAACACCGGUGGCGAAGGCGGGUCUCUGGGCCGAUACUGACGCUGAGGAGCGAAAGCGUGGGGAGCGAACAGG